UACGAAGGGGGCUAGCGUUGUUCGGAAUUACUGGGCGUAAAGCGCGCGCAGGCGGUCUUCCAAGUCAGUGGUGAAAGCCUGGAGCUCAACUCCGGAACUGCCAUUGAAACUGUGAGACUGGAGUACGAGAGAGGUGAGUGGAAUUCCCAGUGUAGAGGUGAAAUUCGUAGAUAUUGGGAAGAACACCGGUGGCGAAGGCGGCUCACUGGCUCGUAACUGACGCUCAUGCACGACAGCGUGGGGAUCAAACAGG
RNAcentral lists this ribosomal RNA (253 nucleotides) under uncultured bacterium. RNAcentral describes it as "partial 16S ribosomal RNA". It matches the Rfam family "Bacterial small subunit ribosomal RNA", at positions 524 to 776 of the family's 1533-position model. The record is from RNAcentral.